Molecule: ribosomal RNA, 418 nt
Filed under: uncultured bacterium
Lineage: Bacteria
Description: bacterial SSU rRNA
Rfam family: Bacterial small subunit ribosomal RNA
Source: RNAcentral
CGGCCAGCGAAUGCGAAGAAGCGUAGCCGCCCUGAGAGUGUGACCGGCCACAGCGGGAAUGAGACACGGGCCUCAUUCCUAGGGGAGGUAGCAGUAGUGGAAUUUUCCUCAAAGUGCGAAUGCUUGAUGGAGCACACGAGUGUGUGAGUGAUGAAGGCUUUAUGAUGUAAGAGUCGGUGAUUCGUGAGGAACUGGAGUAUGAGGAAAGGUUAGCCUAUCGGUGGGUACCGGAGGAGUAAGCCCCGGUAUAAGUCGUGCCAGCAGCCGUGGUCAUAUGUAGUGGGCAAGGGUUGUCCGGAUUCGCGGGGCGUAAAGUGCGCGCAGGGGGUAAUGUAAGUGGGAUGAUAAAACCCGAAGGUGAACGUGUGGUUUCCUUUUGGGACAGGGUGCCAAGAGGAUCGUAGAGGCAUGGCGAAUU